This 301-nucleotide ribosomal RNA is filed under the name uncultured bacterium. Its description in RNAcentral is "partial 16S ribosomal RNA". It matches the Rfam family "Bacterial small subunit ribosomal RNA", at positions 509 to 807 of the family's 1533-position model. The record is from RNAcentral.
CAGUCGCCGCGGUAAGACAGAGGAUGCAAGCGUUAUCUGGAAUGAUUGGGCGUAAAGGGCUCGCAGGCGGUUUCUUAAGUCUGAUGUGAAAGCCCCCGGCUCAACCGGGGAGGGUCAUUGGAAACUGGGAAACUUGAGUGCAGAAGAGGAGAGUGGAAUUCCACGUGUAGCGGUGAAAUGCGUAGAGAUGUGGAGGAACACCAGUGGCGAAGGCGACUCUCUGGUCUGUAACUGACGCUGAGGAGCGAAAGCGUGGGGAGCGAACAGGAUUAGAUACCCGCGUAGUCCCUGUCUCUUAUAC